This is a small nucleolar RNA of Polyodon spathula (Mississippi paddlefish), 73 nucleotides long. NCBI's taxonomy places the organism in Eukaryota, Metazoa, Chordata, Actinopteri, Acipenseriformes, Polyodontidae. The record is from RefSeq and is a predicted model, not a curated record.
UUUCUGUGAUGAUAACUUCUGUCCAGUUCUGCUACUGAACUCAAGUGAUGAUAUUUAUGACACCUGAGCGAGA